AUGCUCGCCGCCACCCCCGGAGCCGCGGAGGAUGGAGGAGGGACCGGGAUCCACCGCGUCCCGGGGGGUCCCCGAGAGCCGGGGGCGGCACCGAAUCCUUACCUGAGCAGAGUUGGUGGGCGAGGGUCCGCCCUGGGGUCGGUGCGCCGGGACCGAGGGCGCGGAACGGCGGGAGCGCGACGCGGCCGGGGCCACCUCCCCCGCGGGCUUAUAAAGGCGGCCGAGGGGCCCGGAGAGCGGCCGGGGCAGCCCGCCCCCGCCCCCGCCCCCGCCCCCGCCGCCGGCCCCGGCCCGGUCCUCCCCGCCCCCGCCCCGCCCCCGCCGCGCCCCGCCCCCCCAGAGCCCGGGCCGGCACCUGGGCCACGCGGUCAGGGCGCCCCCUGCCGGGAAGCGGGGUGCCCCCGGCCCCCGAGCUCCGGCUGGUGCGGGACGGGAUGCCGGGCGGGGGGGCGGGGCGGCUGGAUGCAGGGGGCGCUGGAUGCAGGGGGGCGCGGCAGCUGCUGGCACGUCCCCGGCCCGCGCUCCCGGGCCCCCUCGGCCUCCUGGCUUCCCGCCGGGCCCCUGGCCCUGCCCCCUGCGAGGUCGGGCGCACUCCCGUCUCCGCGCGCGGAUCCCACUCGUCUUUGGGGCUCCAACUCCGUCCCGGGUCUCUUGGGGUCUUCCUCCCGCCCUCAGCCUUGCCUGCCCCUGUCUGUGUCUGCCGGCGUCUACCUGUCUCCCUUCGGGUCCCUCCACAUCUCUAUCCGUCUGCAUCCGCGUGUCCUCCGGCCACUGUCCCCCUGUGUUGUCCGACUCUCCCUGCGCUCUCCCUUCCCACUUCAGACCAGCGCUGCCCCGCUAGCCCUCGUCCCUGCCCUUGGACUCUCUGGACUAGGCCCGGAGGAAGCAGAGGGUGACCUAGGAGGGGCGGCUUCUGGAGGGGAGCCUCCGCUGGACGGGGGCUCUUACCUCUUUUAUCCUGAGAGGGAAGGGGCCCGGGCAGCAUUCAUGCUGACCUGUCCCAGCCGCAAGCCUCCCUGA
RNAcentral lists this long non-coding RNA (1020 nucleotides) under Canis lupus dingo (dingo). RNAcentral's name for it is "lncRNA (ENSCAFG00020016497.1)". The record is from RNAcentral. Lineage: Eukaryota; Metazoa; Chordata; Mammalia; Carnivora; Canidae.